UAGCAUAGUGUAACAUAGUCCUUUCUUCACC
Molecule: non-coding RNA, 31 nt
Filed under: Mus musculus (house mouse)
Lineage: Eukaryota; Metazoa; Chordata; Mammalia; Rodentia; Muridae
Source: RNAcentral